Molecule: ribosomal RNA, 461 nt
Filed under: uncultured beta proteobacterium
Lineage: Bacteria; Pseudomonadati; Pseudomonadota; Betaproteobacteria
Description: bacterial SSU rRNA
Rfam family: Bacterial small subunit ribosomal RNA
Source: RNAcentral
AGGAAAGUAGGGGAUCGUAAGACCUUGCGCUUUUGGAGCGGCCGAUGUCUGAUUAGCUAGUUGGUGAGGUAAAGGCUUACCAAGGCUUCGAUCAGUAGCUGGUCUGAGAGGACGACCAGCCACACUGGGACUGAGACACGGCCCAGACUCCUACGGGAGGCAGCAGUGGGGAAUUUUGGACAAUGGGGGCAACCCUGAUCCAGCCAUGCCGCGUGAGUGAAGAAGGCCUUCGGGUUGUAAAGCUCUUUCAGCCGGAACGAAAAGGUUACGGUUAAUACCCGUGACUAAUGACGGUACCGGAAGAAGAAGCACCGGCUAACUACGUGCCAGCAGCCGCGGUAAUACGUAGGGUGCGAGCGUUAAUCGGAAUUACUGGGCGUAAAGCGUGCGCAGGCGGUUUUGUAAGUCAGAUGUGAAAUCCCCGGGCUUAACCUGGGAACUGCGUUUGAAACUACAAAGCU